Molecule: long non-coding RNA, 1982 nt
Filed under: Mus pahari (shrew mouse)
Lineage: Eukaryota; Metazoa; Chordata; Mammalia; Rodentia; Muridae
Description: lncRNA (MGP_PahariEiJ_G0005968.1)
Source: RNAcentral
GAGGAGCAAGCCAGUAAGCAGCAUCCCCCUGUGGCCACUGUAUCAGCUCCUGCCUCCAGGCUGCUAGGCUGUGAGACCUCAAGUCAAAGUCAAUCCUAUGAUGAGUCAGACUGACAAGUUCUACUAGAGGGCUGGAGAGCAGACUCGGCUCCCUGAAGAUGAUCAGACGGUUUGCAGCUGGAAGUAACACUUGGUGGCUAUUUGUCUGCUGUAUCCACAUUACAGGAUGAGAUGUUCCCAAGAAUAAUUCCUAGUGAUCCUGGGGCUGCUCAUGAGAUCUUUGCCAGCAAGAGAGGUGUGCUUGUCCCUGUCUGUGUUUGGGGUGAUAGAAGAUUCUGGUAGCUGCUGUGAAACAGAUACUGCAUAUCAGCAUCUGGGGUUUGAUCAUCUUGGAGAAAACUUGACUCUUCCUGAUGUAUUUGUGAAUAGACUUCCCACUCUACUCCGUCAGCCUUUAGAUGUGGAUUAUUGGGAGAGAUGUUUGAUUGCUUUUGUUCCUCUUUAAAAGAAUUUAAUUUUGGAUUGGCAUGUAAUAUUUGUAUACACUUAAGUGGUAAAAUGUGAUGGUUUUAAUUGGUACAUAAUACUGGGAAGUAUCAACACAACAUAGUUAUCACAUUUUUCACCUUAGACUGUUAUCAUUUCCUUAUUGUCAGAACCUCAAGAAGCCCCUCUUUAACCAUUUGAAGAUACACAAUGCAUUGUGGCUAAUUAUAUCCUCCCUACUGUGGUAGGGCACACCAGAACCUACCCUAACUAACAGUAACAUGAGCCAGCUCUCUGUCUCCCAAGCUCCUCUCUGCUCCAUCUCUGGUCGCCAGUACACUGCUCUCCACUUCUUUGAAGUCUUACAUGCAAAUGGGAUUGGGUAGUGUUUGCCUUUUUGGACAUGAAUUACUUCAGUCUGCAUAAUGGCCUCUGAGUGUCUGCAUUAUAUUGCAAAUCACAAAAUGUCAUUCUAUUUAUAGCUAAAUAAUAUUCCACAGCAUAUUCACACAAUAUACUGUUUUCCUACCUAUUUAUGCAUGGUGAACAUUUAGGAUAAUUCCAUUUCCUGGAUAUUUUUAAUAUAGCAAAUAAGAGUAGAAGUCCAGAUGUCUUUUGAUAUGUUGAGUUCAUUUUCUUUUAUACAUUCCCAGUGGUAGAAUUGUUGGUUCCUAUGAUAGCUUUGAUUUUAUGGGUUUGUUUGUUGGUUUGUUUAAGGAAUUUUGCUUUGAAAUAGUUGUAGAGUACUCUUCUACAGGAGCCAAAGACCACUUAAGCACAGCACCAAUACCAAAUCUGAGGAGCCAUGUAUUUGAAGAAGGGAUAAGAAGGUUAUAUGGGAGGUUUUGGAGGGUGGAAAGAGAAGGGAGAAAUGUUGUAAUUAUAUUAUAAUCUUAAAAAAAAAAUAAAGUUAAUAGAAGAGAAAAAUUGAGUUCCUUUUUUUUUCUUUUUCUUUUUGCAUCCUUACCAGGGAAUGCUCCUCGGUUAGUUACUUAGUUGGUAUAUGUGUGCAUGCGAGUGUGUAUGCAUAUGGAUGCUGGAGGUCAUUGUCAAGUGUCUUCCUCAAGCUCUCUUCCACCUCACCGAAUCUGGGGCUUCUGAUUUAGUUGGCAUGCCUGGCUAGUGAGUCCAGGGACCAACCUGUUGUUAUCUCCCAAGUAGCUGAACAGCUGCACCUGACUUUAAAGUUUUUCUUCAAAAAAUUUAAUUUAAUGUACUUUUAUUGUACUUUUAAUUUAGUGUUUUGUUGUUAUGCCUGGCUUCUUACGUGCUUUCUGGGGUUUUGAAUUCUUGUCUUUGUGGUUGUGUGUCAAGAACUUUACUGACUAAGCCACUUACCAAGGAUCUCUCCCCCUUUUCCAUCAUAGCCAUCUUAACUGAGAUAGAAGCUCAUUGUUUGGAUCUUCAUUUUUAUAUUAUUCAAAACGAUGUUGAACAUUUUUUUAAAAUUAUGUCUGUUGUUAUUUGACCAUCUCUUUGAAAAUAAAUGCUUAUUC